GAGCACUGUCCCUCAACAAGGGAGGAUACACCUCACCUGUAACAGCAUCCAACUCCCAUUUAAGCAGCUAUUCUCUGAGGAGCUGGUUAUAGUGUGAUCUCUCAGGAGUUUGGCAGUCUAACAAGGACUGUCUCUGGACCUGUGCCUGCAGUGCUGGACACCAGGGGAAGGCUUGUCGUCCUACAAAGGUGAGGAGAUGGACACCAGGGGAAGGCACAG
Molecule: long non-coding RNA, 219 nt
Filed under: Cricetulus griseus (Chinese hamster)
Lineage: Eukaryota; Metazoa; Chordata; Mammalia; Rodentia; Cricetidae
Description: lncRNA (ENSCGRG00000024943.1)
Source: RNAcentral